RNAcentral lists this ribosomal RNA (460 nucleotides) under uncultured bacterium. Its description in RNAcentral is "partial 16S ribosomal RNA". It matches the Rfam family "Bacterial small subunit ribosomal RNA", at positions 338 to 795 of the family's 1533-position model. The record is from RNAcentral.
CCUACGGGUGGCAGCAGUGAGGAAUAUUGGUCAAUGGACGCGAGUCUGAACCAGCCAAGUCGCGUGAAGGAUGACUGCCCUAUGGGUUGUAAACUUCUUUUAUAUGGGAAUAAAAUGUUGCACGUGUGGUAUUUUGUAUGUACCUUAUGAAUAAGGAUCGGCUAACUCCGUGCCAGCAGCCGCGGUAAUACGGAGGAUCCGAGCGUUAUCCGGAUUUAUUGGGUUUAAAGGGUGCGUAGGUGGAUUUUUAAGUCAGUUGUGAAAGUUUGCGGCUCAACCGUAAAAUUGCAGUUGAAACUGGCAGUCUUGAGUACAGUAGAGGUGGGCGGAAUUCGUGGUGUAGCGGUGAAAUGCUUAGAUAUCACGAAGAACUCCGAUUGCGAAGGCAGCUCACUGGGCUGCAACUGACACUGAGGCUCGAAAGUGUGGGGAUCAAACAGGAUUAGAUACCCGGGUAGUC